CUCUUAUAAGAGUGUUCCGGUUCUCCCGACCGAAAGGCCGGGAGCUAAGAGGGAAGCCGGUGAAGUGACAUUCACCAAUGCCGGCGCUGCCCCCGCAACUGUAAACAGCGAGUUGCUGUCACCUGAGAUAUUCAGGAGAAGGUCACUGAGGCGCAGUCCUCGGGAAGGCCAGAUAGCGGCACUGACCUGUGAGCCAGGAGACCUGCCGAAACAUGAUGAACGUC
This 224-nucleotide non-coding RNA is filed under the name Phyllobacterium sp. YR531. RNAcentral also lists the same sequence under 1 other name. Lineage: Bacteria; Pseudomonadati; Pseudomonadota; Alphaproteobacteria; Hyphomicrobiales; Phyllobacteriaceae. The record is from RNAcentral.